UACGUAGGGAGCAAGCGUCGUUCGGAUUUACUGGGCGUAAAGGGCGCGUAGGCGGCAUAUUAAGUCAUCUGUGGAAUCUCCGAGCUUAACUCGGAACUGUCAGCUGAUACUGAUGUGCUAGAGUGCGGAAGGGGCAAUCGGAAUUCUUGGUGUAGCGGUGAAAUGCGUAGAUAUCAAGAGGAACACCUGAGGUGAAGACGGGUUGCUGGGCCGACACUGACGCUGAGUGCGCGAAAGCCAGGGGAGCAAACGGG
Molecule: ribosomal RNA, 254 nt
Filed under: uncultured bacterium
Lineage: Bacteria
Description: partial 16S ribosomal RNA
Rfam family: Bacterial small subunit ribosomal RNA
Source: RNAcentral